RNA transcript from Ictalurus furcatus (blue catfish), 3094 nucleotides. It is a transcript of the gene named piwi-like protein 1, with no coding region annotated. NCBI's taxonomy places the organism in Eukaryota, Metazoa, Chordata, Actinopteri, Siluriformes, Ictaluridae. The record is from RefSeq and is a predicted model, not a curated record. The transcript has 11 exons.
GCACUUUUAAAGUGGAUUUGAUUUAAAAUAAUGAUAAAGCUGUUUUUUUUAUGUAUUUGUAUAUCUUAUCCUCUAUCGUGUUUAAGAAGAAGAGAAUAAUGAAGCUUUUUAUGAAAUAAUAUUUGGGUUUAUUUUAUUUUCCUUUAUUUUCUCCUCAUAGAUUCAAAUUUACGUCAACGUCCGUUACGUUGGUGACGUCACCGCGAGGAGCUGAAAGCGGUGUUUGUGUUAGUUCUGGCCCGUUUGGACCCAAAAUAAAGUGAGUUUAUUCAGUUCUGUGUAACCGAACCCGUUGUGUUUUGUGCUGUAUUGUGUGUAUGUGUGUAGUUAACGGUGUUAACACCUGUGUUUCAGGUGUAUCAGUAUGAAGCAGGCGGUGACGGCGCAGUGAUUCACUCUCGGAGCUCGGUUCACUUAUGACCGAAUCACCGGGGAACCGACCAAAGAUAACUCACACCCGCACGGAGAAGAAGAUGAGCUGGAGUGGGGCAAAGAGAACUGCAUUCAGAUCAAACGGUGGCUGAGUUGUUUGAGGAUCUGAAGAAUUGAGUGUCACAAUUCAACAUGCACAUCAGCGAAACUUCCUCUGACUACACCAGCGCGCACACACAGAAAUUCAUAGUGCAGGUCAAAAUAUAUACAGCAGCGGUGCCCAAUAUGUCAAUCGUGAUCGACCGGUUGAUCGCAAAGGAAGUGCGGGUAGAUCGCCAUUAAAAAAAGAUGUUAGUUGAUGUACAGGGCAGCCAGUCUGAGAUCUCGUCUUUUCUCUCACCACGCGUGUGCGAUCAAGCGCACCAGUGCUAAAGGCUAGCGAGCGAAAUCGCGGGGAGAGGACAUUUUUCAGUCUUUUAAAGACUUGAUUGACAAAACCCAGCUCCCAGUGUGCAAAUUGAUAUCAGUCAAUGGUUGAGCAGCGCAAAUGGAUUCAUUGCCAAGUACAGGGAAGACGAUGCUUUCCCUGACUUCCUUAACUACCACUGCAUAAUACACCAACAAGCCUUAUGCGCAAGAAUGCUAAACAUGAAAGAGAUCAUGGAUGUGGCAACAAAGAUCGCCUGUUCUAUACGUGCUAGAUCACUUCAAAGACAGCUGUUCCGUGCGCAUCUGGAGAAGGCAGACUGCGACCAAUCAGCUCCUGCUACACACUGACGUGAGAUGGCUUAGUAGGGGUAAAUUCCUGCAGAGAUUUCGAGAGCUCUGUCCGGAGAUAAGCGAGUUUCUUUUUGCUGUUAAACAUGCAGAAUACACCCAAGUCAAUGAUGAUCAGUGGUUGCUGGACUUUUUUUAACCGAGCAUUUUAACCGAUCUGACCAACUUAAUUUGGAGCUGCAAGGAAAAGACAAAAAUUAAAGGCAGUUAAUGCCUUUAAACGGAAAAUGCAACUUCUGUUCUCAAAGCUGCAGCGCCAUGUUUUUGGGAACUUCCAAAACCUCGCGUCAGAGCUGGAGACGCAGCGGAAGGCUUGUGCGCAGUUUAACAUUGCACGCUACACGGAGCAGAUUGACAGCUGUCGGUCAGAGUUUGACAGACGCUUUCAAGACUUUGCUUUACUGGAGCCAUUCUCCACAUUCAUGUGCUACCCGUUUAGGGACAAUGUUGAGGUUGAUUGAUUCGCAUCGAAAAUUGCAACGCUGUUUCACCUGAACUCGUCUGAAGUGGAGGAUGAGAUUUUGAAACUACAGACUGACAUUCAGCUGAAGUCCAGGGCUCAUGGACAGUUCUGGAACUUACUCACAGGGGAAAAGUACCCAAACAUGAGGAAAUGUGCCACCUCCUUGACUGCAUUAUUUGGCUCUACUUAUUUAUGUGAGUCAGCCUUUUCCCUCAUGAAGAUCAUUAAGUCCAAAUACCGUUCCACAAUGACUGAUCAUCAUUUGGAGGCCUGCUUGAGGCUGGCUACCAGCAGCUACUCUCCGGACUAUGCAACCCUGGCUGAUUCUAUUCAGUGCACGUCGUCAGAGUAAGGUGGCGAUUGCAGGCGCAUUUUAUCCGAACUGCUUCCUCCAGGGAACUGUGGACGAGGAGCUCGCCUCCAAGGAGCUCUAUGGAAACGACCCCAGGACCACCGUAGUGGUGUGUAAUCUCCCUCCAUUUGCAUUCCUCUACUAUAAACAGCUCCAGUCUCUCUUCAGACACUGUGGUUAAGUCAAAUCCAUCUCCUUUGACAGCUCCAGGGCCUAUGUAGAGUUCUACCGCUCGUCAAUGAGAGGUUCUGGCGUUCUCCCAGAGGUCUCUCUGUCUCUCCUCCUCGCGCAGCAGAGACUUCCUCUCCAUCUCAACGUUUAACCCGCUGGAGAGGUGGAGACUUGGGCAGGGGGGUAGUGUAUCUCACACCUCAGAUAUACAUGGGUGAAUGUGGAUUUUCAGAAUCAGUCAGUGAGCCCUGUCGGGGUUCUGAGCAGCUCCAUUGAGUUGGAGAAUCUUCCGUCUAACCCUGUCUUUAUCGUCAAUAUCACCGAGGUGUCUGUUCCGCCUCUUUCACUUUCAGUGCACAAAUAAAAAAAAAAAAGCAGUGGCUCCUGUGUGUCUGUGUCUGUGUGUGUGUGUGUCUAGGUCAUCAAAGUGGGGCAUUUCUGGGGUUUCCAGGCUCACGAGGCAAGUCUGGAGAAACAGGUGGCUGACAGUGGCCGUUAAUACACGGGCGCUCUGCCCACUUCCUGUCUCACUUUAUCCAAAUCUUCUGUGUCUCGCCCCUUUCUCUGAAACUCACACCAAACCUGGGAACUACUACAGAGCCAAAAUACUGCAUGUCAUGGGGAGUAAUGUGGAGGUGUUCGUUGUGGACUUUGGAAACACUUCCAAGGUGCCAUGUAACUCUGGAACUUCCUGCUGACCGGCAAGCUCUGUCCUUUCAGUUGAAGCACCUGAUGAUAUUGGUAUCGACUGCUACCACGACAGUGCCGCAGGAAAGAGAUCCAUCGGUGCACUGGUGGCCAGCCUCAACCCGGGCAUGUCCAGGAACAUGUCCCACACUCGGAGGACUGAGGCCCAGGGCAGAGUUCAGGAGAAGGCGCACAUGAACCACUCCAUCAUGUAGAGCACCAGCUUGAUCUUGUGCUUGUCCAGGUGCCGAUACGCCACAGGACACACUCAC